CACGGUUAAUCUUAGAUUCAAUUUAUCCUGCUUGAAGCACAACCUAACAUUGUUUUUAACGUAGAACUGUAUGCUUCUACUUUUAUUUACUUUUUUAGGGCGAGCUUUCUGACCAAGUAUACAACUACCCAGAGGGCCUAGGAGAAGUGCUGUACAGAGAGCAGUUCGACUUCAACGCUGAGCCACCUUGGGAACCUAGCUGAUGAUAGGGGGGUUCCAUCUCCUAACUUGUCCAUGGAGGUCUUCACUUCAGAAAUCCAAGACUCAUAUUCAUCCAGCCUGGUGUCAAGUGGGCUGUUGCUGCCAGAAUUAUCUUGUGAUUAUUUGAGAGAUGUAUCAGUUUCUUCUGAAGUACAAUCAACUAUAGAAGCCUUUGUAGCAGGUGUG
This is a long non-coding RNA of Rhinolophus ferrumequinum (greater horseshoe bat), 387 nucleotides long. NCBI's taxonomy places the organism in Eukaryota, Metazoa, Chordata, Mammalia, Chiroptera, Rhinolophidae. The record is from Ensembl.